Molecule: ribosomal RNA, 238 nt
Filed under: uncultured bacterium
Lineage: Bacteria
Description: partial 16S ribosomal RNA
Rfam family: Bacterial small subunit ribosomal RNA
Source: RNAcentral
UAGCACGUGGGUGACCUUCCCAGACGUGGGGGAUAACCCGCCGAAAGGCGGGCUAAGACCGCAUACGACUUUUCGGUUGGGACCGGGGAGUGAAAGCAAGGCCUCUGUAGACAAGCUUGCGCGUUUGGUUGGGCCCGCGGCCCAUCAGCUAGUUGGAGUGGUAACGGCACACCAAGGCGACGACGGGUAGCUGGUCUGAGAGGAUGGCCAGCCACACUGGAACUGAGACACGGUCCAG